UAAGGUAUAAUUAAAAAUCAUAAUAUAAGACUUUUAAUCUAACAUUGUAGACACACCCCUACUACCUUAA
RNAcentral lists this transfer RNA (70 nucleotides) under Sympagella nux. RNAcentral's name for it is "tRNA-Lys". The record is from RNAcentral. Lineage: Eukaryota; Metazoa; Porifera; Hexactinellida; Lyssacinosida; Rossellidae.